Molecule: ribosomal RNA, 201 nt
Filed under: uncultured bacterium
Lineage: Bacteria
Description: partial 16S ribosomal RNA
Rfam family: Bacterial small subunit ribosomal RNA
Source: RNAcentral
CUAGUUCGGAUUGUAGGCUGAAACUACGCCUACAUGAAGCUGGAAUUGCUAGUAAUCACAGGUCCGCAUACUGUGGUGAAUACGUUCCCGGGCCUUGUACACACCGCCCGUCACACCAUGAGAGUUGAGAAUACCCGAAGUCCAUGUCAAAGUGGCCGAAAGGUAGGCUUGAUGAUUGGGGUGAAGUCGUAACAAGGUAAC